GAUGAACGCUGGCGGCGUACCUAAUACAUGCAAGUCAAGCGAACAGACGAGGAGCUUGCUCCUCUGACGUUAGCGGCGGACGGGUGAGUAACACGUGGAUAACCUACCUAUAAGACUGGGAUAACUUCGGGAAACCGGAGCUAAUACCGGAUAAUAUAUUGAACCGCAUGGUUCAAUAGUGAAAGACGGUUUUGCUGUCACUUAUAGAUGGAUCCGCGCCGCAUUAGCUAGUUGGUAAGGUAACGGCUUACCAAGGCGACGAUGCGUAGCCGACCUGAGAGGGUGAUCGGCCACACUGGAACUGAGACACGGUCCAGACUCCUACGGGAGGCAGCAGUAGGGAAUCUUCCGCAAUGGGCGAAAGCCUGACGGAGCAACGCCGCGUGAGUGAUGAAGGUCUUCGGAUCGUAAAACUCUGUUAUUAGGGAAGAACAAAUGUGUAAGUAACUAUGCACGUCUUGACGGUACCUAAUCAGAAAGCCACGGCUAACUACGUG
This 497-nucleotide ribosomal RNA is filed under the name uncultured bacterium. RNAcentral's name for it is "partial 16S ribosomal RNA". It matches the Rfam family "Bacterial small subunit ribosomal RNA", at positions 28 to 507 of the family's 1533-position model. The record is from RNAcentral.